GUAGAGCGAGAGAACAUGAAUAGUAUUGGGUGAGAGAGAGAGAACAUGAAUAGUAUUGGGUGGUAGAGAGAGAGAGAGAGAACAUGAAUAGUAUUGGGUGGUAGAGAGAGAGAGAGAGAACAUGAAUAGUAUUGGGUGGUAGAGAGAGAGAGAGAGAGAACAUGAAUAGUAUUGGGUGGUAGAGAGAGAGAGAGAACAUGAAUAGUAUUGGGUGGUAGAGAGAGAGAGAGAGAACAUGAAUAGUAUUGGGUGGUAGAGAGAGAGAGAGAACAUGAAUAGUAUUGGGUGGUAGAGAGAGAGAGAGAACAUGAAUAGUAUUGGGUGAGAGAGAGAGAACAUGAAUAGUAUUGGGUGGUAGAGAGAGAGAGAACAUGAAUAGUAUUGGGUGGUAGAGAGAGAGAGAGAACAUGAAUAGUAUUGGGUGGUAGAGAGAGAGAGAACAUGAAUAGUAUUGGGUGGUAGAGAGAGAGAGAACAUGAAUAGUAUUGGGUGGUAGAGAGAGAGAACAUGAAUAGUAUUGGGUGGUAGAGAGAGA
This is a long non-coding RNA of Oncorhynchus tshawytscha (Chinook salmon), 535 nucleotides long. Lineage: Eukaryota; Metazoa; Chordata; Actinopteri; Salmoniformes; Salmonidae. The record is from Ensembl.